AGAGCGCGUGCAGCCGCCGAGCACAUGGACCCGCUGGCCGAGCGGGCCCCACCAGGCCGGGAUGAAGGGGAGCUGCGAACCAGGAUGCGAGCCAGCAAAACCCAAAGCCCACCCCUCCGGCCCCGAGUGGAUAUCCACGCGGAAAGGAUGUUGGCAGCCCGGGUGACCUGGGAGUCAUGGCUGAAUCUACCCUCCC
Mesocricetus auratus (golden hamster) is the source of this 196-nucleotide unclassified non-coding RNA. NCBI's taxonomy places the organism in Eukaryota, Metazoa, Chordata, Mammalia, Rodentia, Cricetidae. The record is from Ensembl.